UUCUCUUUGGUUGUUACCACUAG
This 23-nucleotide microRNA is filed under the name Polistes canadensis. RNAcentral's name for it is "pca-miR-6001-3p". Lineage: Eukaryota; Metazoa; Arthropoda; Insecta; Hymenoptera; Vespidae. The record is from miRBase by way of RNAcentral.